This 288-nucleotide ribosomal RNA is filed under the name Paruroctonus boreus. RNAcentral describes it as "partial 16S ribosomal RNA". The record is from RNAcentral. Lineage: Eukaryota; Metazoa; Arthropoda; Arachnida; Scorpiones; Vaejovidae.
UUUGUCUUAUAAUAAUAUUUUGAAAUUAAUUUUUUAGUUAAAAAGCUAAAAUUAAUUUUAAAGACAAGAAGACCCUAUUAAGCUUUACAAUUUUAUAUUAUUUUCAAACUAAUAAAAUAAUUGUUCUGCUGGGGCAGCAAAUAAAUAAAUAUUAUUUAUAUAUUGUGAUAAAUAAAUCUAGAAAAAUCAAUAAUUUAUUAAAUAAUAACAAGUUACUAUAGGGAUAACAGCAUAAUUUUUUUAAAGAGUUCUCAUCAACAAAAAAGUUUGUGACCUCGAUGUUGGAUU